AGAGGUUGAUCCUGGCUCAGAACGAACGCUGGCGGCAGGCUUAACACAUGCAAGUCGAGCGCCCUGUUUACAGGGAGCGGCAGACGGGUGAGUAACGCGUGGGUAUGUUCCCUAGGGUACGGAAUAGCUCCGGGAAACUGGAAUUAAUACCGUAUACGUCCUUCGGGAGAAAGAUUUAUCGCCCCUGGAUGGGCCCGCGUCGGAUUAGCUUGUUGGUGGGGUAAUGGCCCACCAAGGCUUCGAUCGGUAGCUGGUCUGAGAGGAUGACCAGCCACACUGGGACUGAGACACGGCCCAGACUCCUACGGGAGGCAGCAGUGGGGAAUAUUGGACAAUGGGCGAAAGCCUGAUCCAGCCAUGCCGCGUGAGUGAAGAAGGCCUUAGGGUUGUAAAGCUCUUUCGGCGAGGAAGAUAAUGACGGUACUCGCAGAAGAAGCCCCGGCUAACUCCGUGCCAGCAGCCGCGGUAAUACGGAGGGAGCUAGCGUUGUUCGGAAUUACUGGGCGUAAAGCGCGCGUAGGCGGCUUGACAAGUUGAGGGUGAAAUCCCGGGGCUCAACCCCGGAACUGCCCUUGAAACUGGAUGGCUAGAGACCGGAAGAGGUGAGUGGAAUACCUAGUGUAGAGGUGAAAUUCGUAGAUAUUGGGCAGAACACCAGUGGCGAAGGCGGCUCUCUGGUCCGGUACUGACGCUGAGGUGCGAAAGCGUGGGGAGCGAACAGGAUUAGUUACCCUGGUAGUCCACGCCGUAAACGAUGAAUGCUAGAUGUUGGGCAGCUUGCUGUUCAGUGUCGCAGCUAACGCAUUAAGCACUCCGCCUGGGGAGUACGGCCGCAAGGUUAAAACUCAAAGGAAUUGACGGGAGCCCGCACAAGCGGUGGAGCAUGUGGUUUAAUUCGACGCAACGCGAAGAACCUUACCAGCCCUUGACAUCCUAAUCGCGAUUGGUGGAGACACCUUUCUUCAGUUCGGCUGGAUUAGUGACAGUUGCUGCAUGGCUGUCGUCAGCUCGUGUCGUGAGAUGUUGGGUUAAGUCCCGCAACGAGCGCAACCCUCGCCCUUAGUUGCCAUCAUUAAGUUGGGCACUCUAGGGGAACUGCCGGUGAUAAACCGGAGGAAGGUGGGGAUGACGUCAAGUCCUCAUGGCCCUUAUGGGUUGGGCUACACACGUGCUACAAUGGCGGCGACAGAGGGCAGCGACCCCGCGAGGGUGAGCAAAUCCCCAAAAGUCGUCUCAGUUCGGAUUGUUCUCUGCAACUCGAGAGCAUGAAGUUGGAAUCGCUAGUAAUCGCAGAACAGCAUGCUGCGGUGAAUACGUUCCCGGGCCUUGUACACACCGCCCGUCACAUCAUGGGAGUUGGCUUUACCCGAAGGUAGUGUGCUAACCGCAAGGAGGCAGCAGGCCACGGUAAGGUCAGCGACUAGGGUGAAGUCGUAACAAGGUAACC
This 1447-nucleotide ribosomal RNA is filed under the name uncultured prokaryote. RNAcentral's name for it is "partial 16S ribosomal RNA". It matches the Rfam family "Bacterial small subunit ribosomal RNA". The record is from RNAcentral.